UUUUAGGGGGAUUAAAGCUGCUUUUACAUGAUCGUAAUACUUGUAAGAUUCUCUUCAGUGUAUUAAGAGCUACAGAAGUAAUUAAGAAGAGAAGAAAUGUACUGCCACAUUUCUGAAAUGCGUCUUUCAUACCAAGGGAGAAUGCAAUAGAGCACAAGCAUAUUCUAUGUAAAUAUUUUAACAUCUAUACCGAUUUGAAAGAAAGGAGGGUGGAAAAAAGAGAAAACAUAAUGAGAAUAUCAAUAAGGUGCUAUAUCACACAGAUUCAUCCCACUAAACGCUUGUGGAGAUGCCUUCUACAUUAGGCCAUAUCAGACGCUACGCCUAGCAAGCUGGUAGCAACUUAGCGUUGAGAGACCAGUGCCAGCAUCUGAGUGCUAUGCAAGUAAGCUCCCGCUGGUCUUUUCCUUUCCUUUUAAAAUAUAUUUCAUUUAGGGCUUCUAAAUCUCCCUUAAAGAUCUAUUUUUAAUUAUAGGGAAGGGAUUCAGAAAUGUAUAUUAAAAUGUAUAUUAAUUUUACAAACCCAUCAAGCAAGGCAGGUCAGAAGCUCAAA
This 553-nucleotide long non-coding RNA is filed under the name Struthio camelus australis. RNAcentral's name for it is "lncRNA (ENSSCUG00000011905.1)". The record is from RNAcentral. Lineage: Eukaryota; Metazoa; Chordata; Aves; Struthioniformes; Struthionidae.